GACGAACGCUGGCGGCGUGCCUAAUACAUGCAAGUUGAGCGCUGAAGGUUGGUACUUGUACCAACUGGAUGAGCAGCGAACGGGUGAGUAACGCGUGGGGAAUCUGCCUUUGAGCGGGGGACAACAUUUGGAAACGAAUGCUAAUACCGCAUAAAAACUUUAAACACAAGUUUUAAGUUUGAAAGAUGCAAUUGCAUCACUCAAAGAUGAUCCCGCGUUGUAUUAGCUAGUUGGUGAGGUAAAGGCUCACCAAGGCGAUGAUACAUAGCCGACCUGAGAGGGUGAUCGGCCACAUUGGGACUGAGACACGGCCCAAACUCCUACGGGAGGCAGCAGUAGGGAAUCUUCGGCAAUGGACGAAAGUCUGACCGAGCAACGCCGCGUGAGUGAAGAAGGGUUUCGGAUCGUAAAACUCUGCUGGUAGAGAAGAACGUUGGUGAGAGUGGAAAGCUCAUCAAGUGACGGUAACUACACAGAAAGGGACGGCUAACUACGUG
This 497-nucleotide ribosomal RNA is filed under the name uncultured bacterium. Its description in RNAcentral is "partial 16S ribosomal RNA". It matches the Rfam family "Bacterial small subunit ribosomal RNA", at positions 28 to 507 of the family's 1533-position model. The record is from RNAcentral.